Molecule: non-coding RNA, 413 nt
Organism: Struthio camelus australis
Lineage: Eukaryota; Metazoa; Chordata; Aves; Struthioniformes; Struthionidae
Source: RefSeq, a predicted model, not a curated record
CACUGUCGGCCAUUUCGUCGUUGCUACUGCGCUGGGGGAGGUUUUUGGAUCUCUAGGGUAAUCCCCUUUCAGAGGUCAGCCAUGUGCAUCCAUGGUUGCUUUACAGUGUUGUGCCUGAAGCCUCUGGGAGCGACCUGGAUGUCUCCCUCUGCAGGUUGAUACCUCGGGAGCAGGAUGCGCUGCCUCAGGUAAACGCCCCCCUCUUCCCCAAAGAGCUGCUCCGGGGUGGGUGGAAGGGGCUAGGCCCCAAGUGGAGGGCGGUUUCGGCGGGCGCGGAGCGGUCCGAAGGGAUGACGCUGCGAGCUGGACGACACAAGUCUCAUGGCAGGUCUGAGUUACCAAAGCCCUGAUCGGACCGCGGCGGCCCAGCCCGGCGCCUGUGUGCUUCCGCCGCCCUCGCUGACCACCUCCUU